UACGGAGGGUGCAAGCGUUAUCCGGAUUCACUGGGUUUAAAGGGUGCGUAGGAGGGCAGGUAAGUCAGUGGUGAAAUCUCCGGGCUUAACUCGGAAACUGCCGUUGAUACUAUCUGUCUUGAAUACCGUGGAGAUGAGCGGAAUAUGUCAUGUAGCGGUGAAAUGCUUAGAUAUGACAUAGAACACCGAUUGCGAAGGCAGCUAACUACACGAUCAUUGACACUGAGGCACGAAAGCGUGGGGAGCAAACAGG
RNAcentral lists this ribosomal RNA (253 nucleotides) under uncultured bacterium. Its description in RNAcentral is "partial 16S ribosomal RNA". It matches the Rfam family "Bacterial small subunit ribosomal RNA", at positions 524 to 776 of the family's 1533-position model. The record is from RNAcentral.